CCCAGAAACACUUCAUUUAGUCCUCACCAGAACUCAACCCAGAAACACUUCAUUUAGUCCUCACCAGAACUCAACCCAGAAACACUUCAUUUAGUCCUCACCAGAACUCAACCCAGAAACACUUCACUUAGUCCUCACCAGAACUCAACCCAGAAACACUUCAUUUAGUCCUCCCCAGAACUCAACCCAGAAACACUUCAUUUAGUCCUCACCAGAACUCAACCCAGAAACACUUCAUUUAGUCCUCACCAGAACUCAACCCAGAAACACUUCAUUUAGUCCUCACCAGAACCAGGAGAGUUCACCACAUCACUCCAGUUCUCAAAGAUCUGCACUGGCUUCCUGUCACACACAGCCACUUCAAAAUCAUACGUUCAACAUACAAGGCACUGGAUGGAUUGGGCCCAGAGGUGUGUCUUCAGGGUCAGGGUUACUCCUCAUCUCCAGAGUCAGAACUACAUUCACUGAGGCAGCUUUGACCUUAUUUAAGACUAGAGCUGCCAAGGGGUCUAUGAUUUAGAGGUUCUAGUGUUAAGGGUCUCCAUAUCAGACUGAACCCUCCCCCCAUCUGGUCCCCAGGCUCUGAGGUGUCUCCGGUCUGUCUCCCGGACGAGGACGAGGACCUAGACAGCAGCUGGUCCUGUGUCACCACCGGCUGGGGGGCCACCAAGGCUUCAGCGGCGGUGGAUCUGGAACGGCAGCACCAGGCCAGCCUGACUCUGGUGAACCUGACCUCCUGCCGGCAGCAGUGGGGGGGGGACCUCGUCACGGACUCUCAUAUCUGUGCCCAUCCUGCCGGCUCCGCCUCCUGCAUGGGCGACCGUGGGGCGCCGCUGUUCUGCCGGAAGCGAGGCGCCUACUUCCUGUUUGGCGUGUUGACGUGGGGCAGCCGGCGCUGCGACGCAGAGCGACCCGCCAUCUUCUCCAGGAUCACAGACUACCAUCCCUGGAUCUCUGAGGUCACCCAGGACCUCUGAGGUCACCCAGGACGACCUCUGAGGUCACCCAGGACGACCUCUGAGGUCACCCAGGACGACCUCUGAGGUCACCCAGGACGACCUCUGAGGUCACCCAGGACGACCUCUGAGUAAUGACGGAAAUAAAAAUACU
Molecule: long non-coding RNA, 1110 nt
Organism: Gymnodraco acuticeps
Lineage: Eukaryota; Metazoa; Chordata; Actinopteri; Perciformes; Bathydraconidae
Exons: 3
Source: RefSeq, a predicted model, not a curated record